Molecule: ribosomal RNA, 274 nt
Filed under: uncultured bacterium
Lineage: Bacteria
Description: partial 16S ribosomal RNA
Rfam family: Bacterial small subunit ribosomal RNA
Source: RNAcentral
AUACGGAGGGUGCGAGCGUUAAUCGGAAUUACUGGGCGUAAAGCGUGCGUAGGUGGUUAUUUAAUCAAGAUGUGAAAGCCCAGGGCUCAACCUUGGAACUGCAUUUUGAACUGGAUGGCUAGAGUAUUGUAGAGGGUGGUGGAAUUUCCAGUGUAGCGGUGAAAUGCGUAGAGAUUGGAAGGAACAUCAGUGGCGAAGGCGGCCACCUGGACAACUACUGACACUGAGGCACGAAAGCGUGGGGCGCGAACAGGAUUAGAAACCCUAGUAGUCC